CCUACGGGUGGCAGCAGUGGGGAAUAUUGGACAAUGGGCGCAAGCCUGAUCCAGCCAUGCCGCGUGUGUGAAGAAGGCCUUAUGGUUGUAAAGCACUUUAAGCGAGGAGGAGGCUACUUUAGAUAAUACCUAGAGAUAGUGGACGUUACUCGCAGAAUAAGCACCGGCUAACUCUGUGCCAGCAGCCGCGGUAAUACAGAGGGUGCAAGCGUUAAUCGGAUUUACUGGGCGUAAAGCGCGCGUAGGCGGCUAAUUAAGUCAAAUGUGAAAUCCCCGAGCUUAACUUGGGAAUUGCAUUCGAUACUGGUUAGCUAGAGUGUGGGAGAGGAUGGUAGAAUUCCAGGUGUAGCGGUGAAAUGCGUAGAGAUCUGGAGGAAUACCGAUGGCGAAGGCAGCCAUCUGGCCUAACACUGACGCUGAGGUGCGAAAGCAUGGGGAGCAAACAGGAUUAGAUACCCUAGUAGUC
RNAcentral lists this ribosomal RNA (466 nucleotides) under uncultured bacterium. RNAcentral describes it as "bacterial SSU rRNA". It matches the Rfam family "Bacterial small subunit ribosomal RNA", at positions 338 to 795 of the family's 1533-position model. The record is from RNAcentral.